RNAcentral lists this non-coding RNA (403 nucleotides) under Alkalithermobacter paradoxus. Its description in RNAcentral is "Clostridium thermoalcaliphilum Bacterial small subunit ribosomal RNA". It matches the Rfam family "Bacterial small subunit ribosomal RNA", at positions 1 to 303 of the family's 1533-position model. The record is from Rfam by way of RNAcentral. Lineage: Bacteria; Bacillati; Bacillota; Clostridia; Peptostreptococcales; Tepidibacteraceae.
AUUUUUGAGAGUUUGAUCCUGGCUCAGGAUGAACGCUGGCGGCGUGCCUAACACAUGCAAGUCGAGCGGAGGCAAUGCUUAACACUGAGUAUUUAUCUACGAGGCUACUAAGUAGCCAGCGUCAAGCGAACGAAGUGAGCUUCACGCAAAUUAUGAAUAAUACAUGAUGAGUAUUGAGUGUUAAGUAUUGCCUCAGCGGCGGACGGGUGAGUAACGCGUGGGUAACCUGCCCUGUACACUUGGAUAACACACCGAAAGGUGUGCUAAUACAAGAUAAUAUCAAAGGAAGGCAUCUUCUUUUGAUCAAAGCUUUUGCGGUACAGGAUGGACCCGCGUCCCAUUAGCUAGUUGGUGGGGUAAUGGCCUACCAAGGCGACGAUGGGUAGCCGACCUGAGAGGGUGA